RNAcentral lists this ribosomal RNA (466 nucleotides) under uncultured Flavobacterium sp. RNAcentral describes it as "bacterial SSU rRNA". It matches the Rfam family "Bacterial small subunit ribosomal RNA", at positions 8 to 478 of the family's 1533-position model. The record is from RNAcentral. Lineage: Bacteria; Pseudomonadati; Bacteroidota; Flavobacteriia; Flavobacteriales; Flavobacteriaceae.
AGAGUUUGAUCAUGGCUCAGGAUGAACGCUAGCGGCAGGCUUAACACAUGCAAGUCGAGGGGUAGGGUAGCAAUACCUGAAACCGGCGCACGGGUGCGUAACGCGUAUGCAAUCUACCUUGUACAGGGGGAUAGCCCAGAGAAAUUUGGAUUAAUACCCCAUAGUAUUUUCAAAUGGCAUCAUUUGAUUAUUAAAGUUCCAACGGUACAAGAUGAGCAUGCGUCCCAUUAGCUAGUUGGUGUGGUAACGGCAUACCAAGGCUACGAUGGGUAGGGGUCCUGAGAGGGAGAUCCCCCACACCGGUACUGAGACACGGACCAGACUCCUACGGGAGGCAGCAGUGAGGAAUAUUGGUCAAUGGGCGCAAGCCUGAACCAGCCAUGCCGCGUGCAGGAUGAAGCAUCUAUGGUGUGUAAACUGCUUUUGUACAGGAAGAAACACUCCCUCGUGAGGGAGCUGACGGUAC